RNAcentral lists this ribosomal RNA (1109 nucleotides) under uncultured Leptolyngbya sp. Its description in RNAcentral is "bacterial SSU rRNA". It matches the Rfam family "Bacterial small subunit ribosomal RNA", at positions 40 to 1189 of the family's 1533-position model. The record is from RNAcentral. Lineage: Bacteria; Bacillati; Cyanobacteriota; Cyanophyceae; Leptolyngbyales; Leptolyngbyaceae.
CGGGCGCGGCUACACAUGCAGUCGAGCGAACUUUUCGGAGUUAGUGGCGGACGGGUGAGUAACGCGUGGGAAUCUGCCUUCGGGAGGGGGACAACAGUUGGAAACGGCUGCUAAUACCCCAUAUGCCGAGAGGUGAAACGGUGAAUUCCGCCUGGAGAUGAGCUCGCGUCUGAUUAGCUAGUUGGUGAGGUAAGAGCUCACCAAGGCGACGAUCAGUAGCUGGUCUGAGAGGAUGAUCAGCCACACUGGGACUGAGACACGGCCCACACUCCUACGGGAGGCAGCAGUGGGGAAUUUUCCGCAGUGGGCGAAAGCCUGACGGAGCAACGCCGCGUGAGGGAGGAAGGCCUGUGGGUUGUAAACCUCUUUUAUCAGGGAAGAAGAACUGACGGUACCUGAUGAAUCAGCAUCGGCUAACUCCGUGCCAGCAGCCGCGGUAAGACGGAGGAUGCAAGCGUUAUCCGGAAUUAUUGGGCGUAAAGCGUCCGCAGGCGGCUUUUCAAGUCUGCUGUUAAAGCCCGCAGCUCAACUGCGGAUCGGCAGUGGAAACUGAGGAGCUAGAGUACGGUAGGGGUAGAGGGAAUUCCCAGUGUAGCGGUGAAAUGCGUACAUAUUGGGAAGAACACCAGUGGCGAAGGCGCUCUACUGGGCCGUAACUGACGCUGAGGGACGAAAGCUAGGGGAGCGAAAGGGAUUAGAUACCCCUGUAGUCCUAGCCGUAAACGAUGGAUACUAGGUGUUGGCCGUAUCGACGCGGUCAGUACCGUAGCUAACGCGUUAAGUAUCCCGCCUGGGGAGUACGCACGCAAGUGUGAAACUCAAAGGAAUUGACGGGGGCCCGCACAAGCGGUGGAGUAUGUGGUUUAAUUCGAUGCAACGCGAAGAACCCUUACCAGGGUGUGACAUCCCGUCGAAUCUCCGAGAAAUAGGAUAGUGCCUUCUGGGAGCGCGGAGACAGGUGGUGCAUGGGCUGUCGUCAGCUCGUGUCGUGAGAUGUUGGGUAAAGUCCCGCAACGAGCGCAACCCUCGUCCUUAGUUGCAUCAUUAAGUAGGUCACCUCCUGGCGAGACUGUAGUUGACAAUCUGUAGUAAUUAUGGAGGAAUGAAAG